Molecule: small nuclear RNA, 104 nt
Filed under: Tupaia belangeri chinensis (Chinese tree shrew)
Lineage: Eukaryota; Metazoa; Chordata; Mammalia; Scandentia; Tupaiidae
Source: RNAcentral
GUGCUCCCUUUGGCAGCACAUAUAGUAAAAUUGGAACAAUACAGAGAUUAGUAUGGCCCCUGUGCAAGGAUGACACACAAAUUCGUGAAGUGUUCCAUAUUUUU